Molecule: ribosomal RNA, 186 nt
Filed under: uncultured Holophagae bacterium
Lineage: Bacteria; Pseudomonadati; Acidobacteriota; Holophagae
Description: partial 16S ribosomal RNA
Rfam family: Bacterial small subunit ribosomal RNA
Source: RNAcentral
GGCCUUUAUGUCCAGGGCCACACACGUGCUACAAUGGCCGGCACAAAGGGUUGCCAACCCGCGAGGGGGAGCCAAUCCCAAAAAUCCGGCCUCAGUUCGGAUUGCAGUCUGCAACUCGACUGCAUGAAGUCGGAAUCGCUAGUAAUCGCGAAUCAGCAGGUCGCGGUGAAUACGUUCCCGGGCCUU